Drosophila kikkawai is the source of this 256-nucleotide long non-coding RNA. RefSeq lists it as uncharacterized. NCBI's taxonomy places the organism in Eukaryota, Metazoa, Arthropoda, Insecta, Diptera, Drosophilidae. The record is from RefSeq and is a predicted model, not a curated record.
GCGGAAGGAGCCAUCCAUUCCGAAGUGACUCUCUUUCUGGCCAAGGAUUGUCAGAGAUGAAGCUGGAGGAGCGAGCAGAUGGCUGGACAGACCUCAACCGGAUGGCAGUGGAGGACGGUGAUCGGAUCUUGGCUCCGGGCUAUAUGAAAGCGUGCAGAAGGUGUAAAUAAUUAAAAUAUUUAUAAAUACAAUUUAAAUAUGUAAAUUUAAUUGAUGGAACACACAAAUAUGAAUCAAUAAAAGAUGGUGAAUUCAA